UACAGAGGGUGCGAGCGUUGUCCGGAAUCACUGGGCGUAAAGGGCGCGUAGGCGGCUUGGUAAGCGUGCGGUGAGAGCCCGGGGCUCAACCCCGGGUCGGCCGUGCGAACUGCUGGGCUGGAGCACUGUAGAGGCAGGUGGAAUUCCGGGUGUAGCGGUGGAAUGCGUAGAGAUCCGGAAGAACACCGGUGGCGAAGGCGGCCUGCUGGGCAGUAGCUGACGCUGAGGCGCGACAGCGUGGGGAGCAAACAGG
This 253-nucleotide ribosomal RNA is filed under the name uncultured bacterium. RNAcentral's name for it is "partial 16S ribosomal RNA". It matches the Rfam family "Bacterial small subunit ribosomal RNA", at positions 524 to 776 of the family's 1533-position model. The record is from RNAcentral.